Molecule: ribosomal RNA, 253 nt
Filed under: uncultured bacterium
Lineage: Bacteria
Description: partial 16S ribosomal RNA
Rfam family: Bacterial small subunit ribosomal RNA
Source: RNAcentral
UACGUAGGGUGCAAGCGUUGUCCGGAAUUAUUGGGCGUAAAGAGCUCGUAGGCGGUCUGUCGCGUCUGCUGUGAAAACUCAGGGCUUAACCCUGAGCUUGCAGUGGGUACGGGCAGACUAGAGUGCGGUAGGGGAGACUGGAAUUCCUGGUGUAGCGGUGAAAUGCGCAGAUAUCAGGAGGAACACCAGUGGCGAAGGCGGGUCUCUGGGCCGUAACUGACGCCGAGGAGCGAAAGCAUGGGGAGCGAACAGG